Long non-coding RNA from Bos taurus (domestic cattle), 3286 nucleotides. The record is from Ensembl. NCBI's taxonomy places the organism in Eukaryota, Metazoa, Chordata, Mammalia, Artiodactyla, Bovidae.
ACUCGGCCCUGGGGAACACACACAACACUUCUUGGCUUGUACUGUGGGUGUGGGUCUCUUAGGGAAAAGGGUUGUUUUUGAGCUAACAAAAUCACAGUAAUGGCAAAUUAACUGAAGAACAUUCGGGCGGUGAAACUGCCUCCAUUCUUGUUCUCGGGACUAUGGAAAGAAUUGCAAAGAACAGUGAGAGAUCCAUAACACAAAGUUCGUGGAAAAUUCCAAGUGUUAAUUCAGUACCAAGUGUGCCGUGCUCAGCAGAGCACAAGUCACACACGGGCCUGAAAUUUAUCUGAGCGAACCUACUAGGGCUUCCACAAGCAUCUAGCAGCCCCCAGCACUUCUCACUCCUAUGCAGUCUCAGAGUUCCCUUUGGAAGUACAGACAUGCAGCUUUCUGAGGUCUGAGCUACUUAAAUUUCCAGACCUGAGAGGGUCUCUCCAGCCAAGCAGCGAGCCUGUGGGUGCCCACGUGGCCGCCCUGCCCAGCUCCCCGUGUCCGGGCUGACUGCUGACGUCACAGACCCGAGUCAGAAGGCGCUGCCCUGCGACGCUGCCCCGCUGCGAUCUGCAUUCACCAGGCCUGCCUCAAGGGUUCAGGUCCCGGUCUCUGGGAUCAACAGCUCUAAAAUGCCCAGAAACUGCAAGACAGACACCUGACAUUUACCAACACUCUUUCCUCAAAACAAAAAUCCGUUUCCUGUUCUGUGCCUUCUUAUGCAAGCAAAGACUCACUCAGCUGUAACUACGAAUCACGAGGGGGCAGUGGGCUAGAGUCAGGGGGUCGCAAAGAGUCGACACGAGUGGUGACUGACGCACACUCACAGCCACACAGAUACUGAUACAAACCACGACGAGUUAGGGCCAACCGCCGAGAGCCCUCCCACACCCAGAGUUCAGAUUCCGUAAGAAGGGGAUAGACUCAAGUCACAUAUUCAAUUACAGAGAGAAAAAUGGGAAUACAAUCCCAUGCAGUUGAGAGCUAAUUUUCAGAAUGAUCACCUGGAUCCCUGAAGUACUAAUCAUCUAAGAAAUGGACAUCAAUGAUUAUCUUCCUCUUAUUAAGGAAGACUGUGAAGGAGCCCCUGGACUGCCCAUCCUCGUUACUGACUCUAACUAGACUGUUAAGAAACUUUAAAAACACGGAAUUUAAACAUAAUUCAUAAGUGUGCGAGUUGGGCUUGAGAGGAGAGAACAAAAAAGAAUCUCUAUCCUAGCAGCUGGAAUUCCCAUGGAGGGAGACACACUCCCCUGACCUUGAACCCUGAGCCAGUGUCUGUCCUGGACACAGCGGCCUGGGUGCCAGCCCAUGGCCCACGCUCGCUUGGUCACCCCUCCCUGGUCAUCUCUUGGUCAUCCUUGGUCAUCUCUCCCUGCCUCUCUGGGCUCUGGGCAGAGAAGCUCUACAAAGCGCUCACGGGAGGGGCAGGGCGUCACUCAUCACGUGGCGCUUGUCCCCAUCCCACUGGCCACAGGGACACUAACGCGAGGGCCACAUCUGUUCUUCCGAUCAGAUGCUCACUGCCCUAAAAACAGCCAGUGAAGAAAGAUGCUUCCCUUUCAAAAAAGAAAGAAAGAAAGAGAAAGGAAAGAAAAGAAAACCAGUUACUCUUAAAGAUAAACAGCACAGCGCUCUUCCGGGAACUGGGACCAUGUUUUUGCCAAAGUCCACGACAUGAGGUCAGAUUUUUGAAUCCAGAAAAUGCAAAUAAAUUGCGACCUAUCACAGUGGCCACUGAGGAAUCAGUGUGCAAGGCAGGCCGGACUCGUGUGCUCAAAGUGCAGGGAUCGCUGCUUUCACACGGGCCAGCAAGGGUGUCUGCAGAGAAGGCUUGCAAGGAGGAAGCCACAGCCAGCUGCCACGAGCACUCACCCCAGGACAGCUCCGUCCUCCCGCCCUCAGCCUCAUCACCAGUCCCCCUCUUGCCUGCAACUGGUGAUGAGCACGACCCAGACAACAAACAGCUGGAAGCAUGCCAGAGGACCAUACAUCCGUGGUCUACCAUGCCCUCUUUAAUCAACUUCCUAAUUAAAAACUGCCAUGCUGGCAUGAGGUACAAAGAGGGUAGGCUUGGGAUCUCCCACGAAACAGCAUCCCUGAACCCUGAGGUUGUGGAAAAUCUGUGUUCUUACGGGUGUUUAUGAGUUUUCCUGGCGCAGAGAGAGAAUCAAUUUGCUUGCGCCUGGCCCUCAAGACGUAUUAAAUUUAUCCUGAAGGAAACUGGCUUCUGCAAAGCUCUUGCCCGGAUGCAUUAGGCAGGUGGGAGUUGCAGUGGGCCGGAGGGUCCCCUGGCAGAUGCAGCAUCGAUUUCUGAACGCUCACCAUCCAGCAGACAGCUCCAGAGCAGACUCGAUUUGAUGGCUCUCUAUGGGGUGCCCUGCAGACUCGAUUAUUUCCACAACCAGUCUGGCUAGCAUUGUUUCAUGGCGACCACGCUCUAUGUUCUCAGCUUCUGUUCAGAUGGCACGAGUGGGUCCGGGUACCAGGGAGGGGAGGGGGCCAGAUUUAAAGCCAGUCUCUAAGGAGCAACCAUCUCUUUCAGGGUCCAGUGAUCAAGGGGGUAAUUCUGACUUAUAAGAAACCAUUCUGUUGACUGCCAUUAAAAUACACUGAGUCCAGGCAUGAAGAUACUACUCAAAACAGUGUCUGAGCUAGAAAUCCCCCAAUAAAAAUCUCUGUACAUACAGCUAUAUCUAAAAUAGAAAACCAACAAAGACCUACUGUAUAGCACAGGGAACUCUGCUCAAUAUUCUGUAAUAACUUAAAUGGGAAAAUAAUUUGAAAAAGAAUAGAUAUAUGCAUAUGUAUAACCAAUCACUUUGCUGCACACUUGAAACUAACAGCAUUGUUAAUCAACUAAACUCUGAUAUAAAAUUAAAAUUUUUUUUAAUCUUUGUCAGUGUGCUAAAAAGAACCACUCACCCCAUAAAUGAUUAAGCCGUGAGUUGUUUAAUUUAGCAACCCAAGUCCAAUAUCCCACACCUGAAAGCAUCUCAAGCAAAUGUGCAACAAUCUUGGGAUAAUUUUCUUUAAAGCCAUUUUAUUGCACCAUCUAAGCAGCCAGACUUCAGUAAAGAAGCAGCCAGUACGUAACAUUGUCAUAAAGUUCCUUUCAACUGUAUUAAUGAGCACCCAAAAGAGGUCUACAUGGCAUACAUAUUAAUCCAAUGGCUCAAAUAUGGUCAGCCUGCACACAUUUCCACACUGGCAUUUUAAAAACACAUAUAUCCAUGCACUUAACAGAACCUUUGAAGAGAUUAAUUGCUGUACCCCUGGGACAUCAUAGCAC